Long non-coding RNA from Oncorhynchus tshawytscha (Chinook salmon), 367 nucleotides. Lineage: Eukaryota; Metazoa; Chordata; Actinopteri; Salmoniformes; Salmonidae. The record is from Ensembl.
AGAGAGAGAGAGGUAGAGAGAGGUAGAGAGAGGUAGAGAGAGAGAGAGGUAGAGAGAGGUAGAGAGAGAGAGAGAGAGAGAGAGAGAGAGGUAGAGAGGUAGAGAGAGAGAGAGGUAGAGAGAGGUAGAGGUAGAGAGAGAGAGAGGUUGAGAGAGAGAGGUUGAGAGAGAGAGGUUGAGAGAGAGAGGUAGAGAGAGAGAGGUAGAGAGAGAGAGGUAGAGCGAGAGAGGUAGAGAGAGAGGUAGAGAGAGAGAGGUAGAGAGAGGUAGAGAGAGAGAGGUAGAGAGAGAGAGGUAGAGGUAGAGACAGAGGUAGAGAGAGGUAGAGAGAGAGAGUUAGUGUUCUGGUGGCUCUAUUAUAGUGUGG